GAUGAACGCUGGCGGCGUGCCUAAUACAUGCAAGUCGAGCGAACGGACGAGAAGCUUGCUUUUCUGAUGUUAGCGGCGGACGGGUGAGUAACACGUGGAUAACCUACCUAUAAGACUGGGAUAACUUCGGGAAACCGGAGCUAAUACCGGAUAAUAUUUUGAACCGCAUGGUUCAAAAGUGAAAGACGGUCUUGCUGUCACUUAUAGAUGGAUCCGCGCUGCAUUAGCUAGUUGGUAAGGUAACGGCUUACCAAGGCAACGAUGCAUAGCCGACCUGAGAGGGUGAUCGGCCACCCUGGAACUGGGACACGGUCCAGACUCCUACGGGAGGCAGCAGUAGGGAAUCUUCCGCAAUGGGCGAAAGCCUGACGGAGCAACGCCGCGUGAGUGAUGAAGGUCUUCGGAUCGUAAAACUCUGUUAUUAGGGAAGAACAUAUGUGUAAGUAACUGUGCACAUCUUGACGGUACCUAAUCAGAAAGCCACGGCUAACUACGUG
Molecule: ribosomal RNA, 497 nt
Filed under: uncultured bacterium
Lineage: Bacteria
Description: partial 16S ribosomal RNA
Rfam family: Bacterial small subunit ribosomal RNA
Source: RNAcentral